CCUACGGAGGCUGCAGUGGGGAAUAUUGGACAAUGGGCGAAAGCCUGAUCCAGCCAUGCCGCGUGUGUGAAGAAGGCCUUCGGGUUGUAAAGCACUUUCAGUGGGGAAGAAAGCCUUGGGGCUAAUACCCUCGAGGAAGGACAUCACCCACAGAAGAAGCACCGGCUAACUCCGUGCCAGCAGCCGCGGUAAUACGGAGGGUGCGAGCGUUAAUCGGAAUUACUGGGCGUAAAGCGCGCGUAGGCGGUCUGAUAAGCCGGUUGUGAAAGCCCCGGGCUCGACCUGGGAACGGCAUCCGGAACUGUCAGGCUAGAGUGCAGGAGAGGAAGGUAGAAUUCCCGGUGUAGCGGUGAAAUGCGUAGAGAUCGGGAGGAAUACCAGUGGCGAAGGCGGCCUUCUGGACUGACACUGACGCUGAGGUGCGAAAGCGUGGGUAGCAAACAGGAUUAGAUACCCUAGUAGUC
Molecule: ribosomal RNA, 464 nt
Filed under: Vreelandella stevensii
Lineage: Bacteria; Pseudomonadati; Pseudomonadota; Gammaproteobacteria; Oceanospirillales; Halomonadaceae
Description: partial 16S ribosomal RNA
Rfam family: Bacterial small subunit ribosomal RNA
Source: RNAcentral